This 497-nucleotide ribosomal RNA is filed under the name uncultured bacterium. Its description in RNAcentral is "partial 16S ribosomal RNA". It matches the Rfam family "Bacterial small subunit ribosomal RNA", at positions 28 to 507 of the family's 1533-position model. The record is from RNAcentral.
GAUGAACGCUGGCGGCGUGCCUAAUACAUGCAAGUCGAGCGAACAGACGAGGAGCUUGCUCCUCUGAUGUUAGCGGCGGACGGGUGAGUAACACGUGGAUAACCUACCUAUAAGACUGGGAUAACUUCGGGAAACCGGAGCUAAUACCGGAUAAUAUUUUGAACCGCAUGGUUCAAUAGUGAAAGACGGUUUUGCUGUCACUUAUAGAUGGAUCCGCGCCGCAUUAGCUAGUUGGUAAGGUAACGGCUUACCAAGGCAACGAUGCAUAGCCGACCUGAGAGGGUGAUCGGCCACACUGGAACUGAGACACGGUCCAGACUCCUACGGGAGGCAGCAGUAGGGAAUCUUCCGCAAUGGGCGAAAGCUUGACGGAGCAACGCCGCGUGAGUGAUGAAGGUCUUCGGAUCGUAAAACUCUGUUAUUAGGGAAGAACAAAUGUGUAAGUAACUAUGCACGUCUUGACGGUACCUAAUCAGAAAGCCACGGCUAACUACGUG